Molecule: long non-coding RNA, 3551 nt
Filed under: Mus musculus (house mouse)
Lineage: Eukaryota; Metazoa; Chordata; Mammalia; Rodentia; Muridae
Description: predicted gene, 48239
Source: RNAcentral
GAGCAUGCGCAGAAGCAUCUGGCUUUGUCUAGUUCGUUUUUGUUAUGGUCUUUCUAACUAUGAGCUUCUUCAUCACACUGCCUAUCAUUUCAGAGGCCAAGUCUCCACUCUGCUUCACCUGUUGAUACAGGAAACUUAAUAAAGAGGCUCCUUCCUCAUCAGAGCCAAGCAUGGCUCUCCUUGGAGCCCAGCCGCAACAGGGACCACGCUACCCCAACGGAGGCAGCGUGCAGCCUCACAGCCAGCUCCUGCUCUUUUAAAGAUCAUGGAGGAGAAACUGUCAGUUGGGUUGGAGGGUGACCUUCAAACAGCUCAAGUGACUACAUGUCCAAAUACACGUGCUGAGAGCCCUGUGAUGGAUACAUGUCUGGGACACAAAAGGGAAGUGUGGCACUCUGGCUUCUAGGCAGAGGUGGCAUUUUUCUUUGGCUGUGACAACAGGCAAACCGGCGCUGGCUUCUAUCACUGCCAGCAAGCCUGGUGCAUCCUGCCUUUUUCUCUUCACUGAGAGACGUGCCACCUUUCAGGGAAAAAUAUAGCACCCCCUUCCAUUUUACAUAGGAAGUUCUCACUCUCAUAAAUGGCUUUAAAAUAGCAAAAUAAAUAAAUAAGAAUUAAAAAUACAGACAAAAAGGUCAACAGUCCUGCACCUUGAGGAAGGCGAGGGAGGGUGCGCAUACAGAAGCGAUCAAUGCUUCGAAGCACAUUCCCAUCCCAGAAGCAAGAACACCCUGCAACAUCCAAUCUUCUCCUGAAUCUCACAUCUAGCAGGAGAAGUGUAAAAAAAUGUAUGAUGCCCCAUUGGCUACACAUUCAAAGAGGCAAAAGGGAGAAAAUGAGUUCUUUCCAAACCUUAUGCUCAGUAGAUGGAAUCAGAGGCACUUUUAGAUGAGGCCCAGCCAGUGCUAACUUGGUUCUCCAGCAUGGGCGUCAAAAGGCAUUUAGAUAUCAGGGAGAAAGAAGUAGGUAUUGCCUUUUAGAACAUUAAAAUGUUAGGGGGUGAGGGGACUCUUCCUAGACAUUGGAAAGGAGGAAACAAAGGCCCAGAGAUGGGUAGUGACUUUUCGGUAUCAUACAGGCAGUGGGAAUCUCCAGCAUGGCAACUGUGCUGAAAUAGAUGCAGUCUCCCCUAUCUGUGGGUCAUGAGAGGUGAGUGGCUGCAUCCCUCUCCAAGUCUCUAGCUGGUGAUAGAUAGCACAUGAAUUAGGAAAGCAGGUCCCAGAGGAGGGAUCUCACCAGAGCUGUGUUUUAUAUCAAUCCCAAUGCAGCAGCAGAUUUGUAAUGAUUCUUUGAAAGAGAAAAUUUAUAAAACAGCUGGAGUUUUCCCUAUUUUUGUUUUGUCUUUCAUACAUAUAGAACUCUUCUGGAACUAUUUUAACACCUGAGCACUAGUGGUAACAUGCUUUAGGUCCAAGGAAGGAGAAUUAGGAAUUGACAACACUCACUAUUUUGAAUAUAGUCAUGAUCUGCUGUCCCUUAAUUUAGGGCUACUGAUUUGGAACGUCCCAAACAAGGCUACUUUAAUCCUAAACACAUGCCAGAGAAGGAAAAUUGCCUGUAGACUGGACUCUUUUAAAAUACAUCUGCCAUGUAGUCAUUUGGGGGAAGGCUGGAACACAAAAAGAUAUUCAUUUCAGCUCUGACCCGUGGGCUACCUGCAGCUGAGUCCAAGGCUCUAUUUGGUAAGGGGCUAGAAGACCAUUAGGAUAUUGCCUGCCUCCUCUUCCUCCUCUUCUUUCCUACCCACUACCAAUCUAUAUAUGAGCCAAGCUCUCACCAAAUGGACCAGGCUGAUCUGGAACUCACUCCUUCGCGCCAGCAGACUCCCAAUUUGCAAUCUUGUAGUCUGAGUAACCUGAACCACAUGCCUGCCCCACCCAGCUUCGCAGCCAUGAUUUGUGUCAUCACUUCUCAAAGUGGCCUGUUUGACCUUAAAUCUCAUGCUCAAGUGAUCUUCCCACCUCAGCCUCCCAAAUCCUGGGCUGCAGGUUUUUUCGAUGAUGUGGCUUCAUGGCUUUCUAGCAUGUAGUAUUGAAGAGUACUGGUCCUAAGACACAUCUGAACUCGAGACCUUGAGUAAGGACACUUUCAUCCUUAGAGACUCAGUUUACUGAUGAAAGUGGGGAUUCAUUUGUCUUUUAUAGGAUUCUUCUGAUGAGUAACUAAAAGAAUGCUUGUGACACACUCAUGCAUAUACUUAGUAGAUAGCAAAGCUGGUACCACCACUGCCUUCACCUCAGCCCCUGCCACCACCGAUCAUUACUAUACCUCACCCCCAACUGUUCAAUCUCUGUCUCUCAACCUAAAAGAUAACAAAACACAGGGGCAGAGGGUUAGUUAUUUGGGAAAGCCGUGCAGUGGAAGAAACGAUCCGUAGGUCCUGGAAUUGUGUGCAUAAGCCUUGAAGCAACAUAUGGGGAGCUCUAAGCAAUGUGAUUCUACUUAAACUUAGGAAACUACCUUUUGUUCCCAAAGCACAUUUUAAACCAACAUUGAUUCAUGUUGAAGUCUUGACUUAAAAGGCCUCCCAGAAUGAAUGAUUUUUCAGACCUUGUAGGCAUAGACUCAGUAUCAGCUUGUUUUGGCCACUUGUUAGCUGGAUAGCCUCAAAUUAACUGCUUAACUCUGUGACCUUCAGUUUUCUCUUUGGGUUAAUGCCAGUACCAACUUCAUAAGGUUGCCGUGAGCAUUAGGAGAUAAUUUAUGCACAGUGCCCACCAGAGCAAGUGCCACAUAGUAAGUGCUCAAUAAAAUGGCAUUCGCUUACAGAGACUUUAUUAAUGUGUAGAACAAAGUUAUUGUCUUGCUUCACUUCUAGCAGAAGUGUAGGUCACUGGUACUCAGAUCUCUCAAGCCACAUAUGCUGCCCUGAAGCAUACUGACUUCUGUAGGGCAAUUCUACCAUGUAGCCUGUACCCACUACAACAUGGGCUGUUAUGGCCAGGAUCAGGGUCCUGAGAGACCAGAAUCACAUACUAACAUCAUUGAAAAACAUGAUAUUCAUCAAGGAUUUUGUUACUUUAAUUUUGAGUUUUUGAAUGUCUCAAAUAUUAAAGUGUAUUGUUAGUUCCCCUCACUCCACUCCACAAGGACAAGAGACUCCACCAUCUCUCUCUAGGUCUAUACUCUACAAGGACAAGAGACUCCAACAUCUCUCUCUAGGUCUCUCCUGUGGUUGGAUGGAUGGAUGGGAAAUUCAUACCCUAAAAAACUGAAGAGGAAAUUCAUACCCUAAAAAACUGAAGAGUUGACAGGAGAGGCACAGUGAAAAUCUGGAGGAUUUUGAACUUUUAUCUGGAAAGUACCUUUCUCCAGCCACGCACAGCCAUGCAUAAGAGAAACCAGCCUAGCAUCUCGUCUACUGAAGAAAUGGCAUUUUCUGUUGGCAAGGAGUCAAAGAGGAAGAUGAUACCUGACCACGCCUAUGUGACUAAGCUCUUUGCUUUGUUUUUUUUGAGACAAAAGUGAGUUAUUAUUAGUUAGAACAAAACAAAGCCCCCACAACCUUUUUAAAUUACUGUAUUGAAAUACUGUAAUAAAAUAUUUUACAA